RNAcentral lists this ribosomal RNA (509 nucleotides) under Bradysia impatiens. Its description in RNAcentral is "partial 16S ribosomal RNA". The record is from RNAcentral. Lineage: Eukaryota; Metazoa; Arthropoda; Insecta; Diptera; Sciaridae.
GUCUUUUAGAUUUUAAUUAAAGUCUGGCCUGCCCAUUGAAAUAAAUUUAAAAGGCUGCGGUAUUUUGACUGUACAAAGGUAGCAUAAUCAUUAGUUUUUUAAUUGAAAACUUGUAUGAAUGGUUUAAUGAAAAAUUAACUUUUUUAAAUAAAAAAUUGAAUUUUACUUUUUAGUUAAAAGGCUAAAAUACUUUUAAAAGACGAGAAGACCCUAUAGAUUUUUAUAAACAUAAUUAUUAUAAACUUUUAGGUUAAUUUUUAUUUACAAAUAAUAAAUUUAUUUUGUUGGGGUGACAAUAAAAUUUGAUUAACUUUUAUAAAAAUUUACAAUUAUAAUUGAUAAUAUGAUCCAUUAUUACUGAUUAAAAAAUUAAAUUACCUUAGGGAUAACAGCGUAAUUUUUUUUUAAGUUCUUAUUAAUAAAAAAUUUUGCGACCCUCGAUGUUGGAUUAAGAUUAAAUUUUAGGUGCAGCAGCUUAAAUUUUGAGUCUGUUCGACUAUUAAAUUCUU